CACGUGGGGAACCUACCCAUAAGAGGGGGAUAACAUCCGGAAACGGGUGCUAAUACCGCAUAGGUGAUCAUAGCGCAUGCUUAGAUCAUUAAAGAUGGCUUCGGCUAUCGCUUAUGGAUGGCCCCGCGGCGUAUUAGCUAGUUGGUGAGGUAAUGGCUCACCAAGGCGAUGAUACGUAGCCGACCUGAGAGGGUGAUCGGCCACACUGGGACUGAGACACGGCCCAGACUCCUACGGGAGGCAGCAGUAGGGAAUCUUCCACAAUGGGCGAAAGCCUGAUGGAGCAAUACCGCGUGAGUGAAGAAGGUCUUCGGAUCGUAAAGCUCUGUUGUUAGAGAAGAACACGCAGAACAGUAACUGGUUCUGCGCUGACGGUAUCUAACCAGAAAGUCACGGCUAACUACGUGCCAGCAGCCGCGGUAAUACGUAGGUGACAAGCGUUGUCCGGAUUUAUUGGGCGUAAAGCGAGCGCAGGCGGUCUUUUAAGUCUGAUGUGAAAGCCCACGGCUCAACCGUGGAUGGUCAUUGGAAACUGGAAGACUUG
This 544-nucleotide ribosomal RNA is filed under the name uncultured bacterium. RNAcentral describes it as "bacterial SSU rRNA". It matches the Rfam family "Bacterial small subunit ribosomal RNA", at positions 114 to 644 of the family's 1533-position model. The record is from RNAcentral.